UACGUAGGUGGCAAGCGUUGUCCGGAUUUACUGGGCGUAAAGAGCGCGCAGGCGGUCGGAUAAGUCGAAUGUGAAAGCCCCCGGCUCAACUGGGGAGGGUCAUUCGAUACUGUUCGACUCGAAGGCAGGAGAGGGAAGUGGAAUUCCCGGUGUAGUGGUGAAAUGCGUAGAUAUCGGGAGGAACACCAGUGGCGAAGGCGGCUUGCUGGGCAUGAUCUGACGCUGAGGCGCGAAAGCGUGGGGAGCGAACAGG
RNAcentral lists this ribosomal RNA (253 nucleotides) under uncultured bacterium. RNAcentral's name for it is "partial 16S ribosomal RNA". It matches the Rfam family "Bacterial small subunit ribosomal RNA", at positions 524 to 776 of the family's 1533-position model. The record is from RNAcentral.